Molecule: non-coding RNA, 147 nt
Filed under: Pan troglodytes (chimpanzee)
Lineage: Eukaryota; Metazoa; Chordata; Mammalia; Primates; Hominidae
Source: Rfam by way of RNAcentral
GCCGGGCGUGGUGGCGCAUGCCUGUAAUCCCAGCUACUCAGGAGGCUGAGGCAGGAGAAUUACUUGAGCCUGGGAGGCAGAGGUUGCAGUGAGCCCAGAUCGCGCCACUGCACUCUAGCCUGGCAACAGAGCGAGACUCUGUCUCAA